RNAcentral lists this ribosomal RNA (253 nucleotides) under uncultured bacterium. Its description in RNAcentral is "partial 16S ribosomal RNA". It matches the Rfam family "Bacterial small subunit ribosomal RNA", at positions 524 to 776 of the family's 1533-position model. The record is from RNAcentral.
UACGAAGGGGGCUAGCGUUGUUCGGAAUUACUGGGCGUAAAGCGCGCGCAGGCGGCCUUUCAAGUCAGGGGUGAAAGCCCGGAGCUCAACUCCGGAAUUGCCUUUGAAGCUGUCAGGCUCUAGUACGGGAGAGGUGAGUGGAAUUCCCAGUGUAGAGGUGAAAUUCGUAGAUAUUGGGAAGAACACCGGUGGCGAAGGCGGCUCACUGGCCCGUCUCUGACGCUCAGGCGCGACAGCGUGGGGAUCAAACAGG